RNAcentral lists this ribosomal RNA (267 nucleotides) under uncultured prokaryote. RNAcentral describes it as "partial 16S ribosomal RNA". It matches the Rfam family "Bacterial small subunit ribosomal RNA", at positions 524 to 792 of the family's 1533-position model. The record is from RNAcentral.
UACGUAGGGGACGAGCGUUGUCCGGAAUUACUGGGCGUAAAGGGCGCGCAGGCGGUUUGUCAAGUCAGCUGUUAAAAAUGGGGCUUAACCCUCAUAUGCUGUUGAAACUGGCAGACUGGAGUGCUGUAGAGGCAAGUGGAAUUCCCAGUGUAGCGGUGAAAUGCGUAGAUAUUGGGAAGAACACCGGUGGCGAAGGCGACUUGCUGGGCAGCAACUGACGCUGAGGCGCGAAAGCCAGGGGAGCAAACGGGAUUAGAUACCCUGGUA